GGAUGAAAGACGGUUUCGGCUGUCACUUACAGAUGGACCCGCGGCGCAUUAGCUAGUUGGUGGGGUAAUGGCUCACCAAGGCGACGAUGCGUAGCCGACCUGAGAGGGUGAUCGGCCACACUGGGACUGAGACACGGCCCAGACUCCUACGGGAGGCAGCAGUAGGGAAUCUUCCGCAAUGGACGAAAGUCUGACGGAGCAACGCCGCGUGAGUGAUGAAGGUUUUCGGAUCGUAAAGCUCUGUUGUUAGGGAAGAACAAGUGCGAGAGUAACUGCUCGCACCUUGACGGUACCUAACCAGAAAGCCACGGCUAACUACGUGCCAGCAGCCGCGGUAAUACGUAGGUGGCAAGCGUUGUCCGGAAUUAUUGGGCGUAAAGGGCUCGCAGGCGGUUUCUUAAGUCUGAUGUGAAAGCCCCCGGCUCAACCGGGGAGGGUCAUUGGAAACUGGGAAACUUGAGUGCAGAAGAGGAGAGUGGAAUUCCACGUGUAGCGGUGAAAUGCGUAGAGAUGUGGAGGAACACCAGUGGCGAAGGCGACUCUCUGGUCUGUAACUGACGCUGAGGAGCGAAAGCGUGGGGAGCGAACAGGAUUAGAUACCCUGGUAGUCCACGCCGUAAACGAUGAGUGCUAAGUGUUAGGGGGUUUCCGCCCCUUAGUGCUGCAGCUAACGCAUUAAGCACUCCGCCUGGGGAGUACGGUCGCAAGACUGAAACUCAAAGGAAUUGACGGGGGCCCGCACAAGCGGUGGAGCAUGUGGUUUAAUUCGAAGCAACGCGAAGAACCUUACCAGGUCUUGACAUCCUCUGACAACCCUAGAGAUAGGGCUUUCCCUUCGGGGACAGAGUGACAGGUGGUGCAUGGUUGUCGUCAGCUCGUGUCGUGAGAUGUUGGGUUAAGUCCCGCAACGAGCGCAACCCUUGAUCUUAGUUGCCAGCAUUCAGUUGGGCACUCUAAGGUGACUGCCGGUGACAAACCGGAGGAAGGUGGGGAUGACGUCAAAUCAUCAUGCCCCUUAUGACCUGGGCUACACACGUGCUACAAUGGACAGAACAAAGGGCUGCAAGACCGCAAGGUUUAGCCAAUCCCAUAAAUCUGUUCUCAGUUCGGAUCGCAGUCU
RNAcentral lists this ribosomal RNA (1120 nucleotides) under uncultured Bacillus sp. Its description in RNAcentral is "bacterial SSU rRNA". It matches the Rfam family "Bacterial small subunit ribosomal RNA", at positions 198 to 1306 of the family's 1533-position model. The record is from RNAcentral. Lineage: Bacteria; Bacillati; Bacillota; Bacilli; Caryophanales; Bacillaceae.